Molecule: ribosomal RNA, 442 nt
Filed under: uncultured bacterium
Lineage: Bacteria
Description: bacterial SSU rRNA
Rfam family: Bacterial small subunit ribosomal RNA
Source: RNAcentral
AACGAACGCUGGCGGCAGGCUUAACACAUGCAAGUCGAACGCGUGUAGCAAUACACGAGUGGCGCACGGGUGAGUAACGCGUGGAUAUCUGCCUUUUGGUUCGGAAUAACUCCGGGAAACUGGAGCUAAUACCGGAUGGUUCCUACGGGAUAAAGAUUUAUCGCCAAAAGAUGAGUCCGCGUACGAUUAGCUAGUUGGUGAGGUAAUGGCUCACCAAGGCGACGAUCGUUAGCUGGUCUGAGAGGACGAUCAGCCACACUGGGACUGAGACACGGCCCAGACUCCUACGGGAGGCAGCAGUGGGGAAUAUUGGACAAUGGGGGCAACCCUGAUCCAGCCAUGCCGCGUGAGUGAUGAAGGCCUCGGUUGUAAGCUCUUUGGUCGGGGACGGAUGAUGACGGUACCCGCAGAAUAAGCCCGGCUAACUUCGUGCCAGCAGCCG